This 332-nucleotide ribosomal RNA is filed under the name uncultured eukaryote. RNAcentral's name for it is "partial 18S ribosomal RNA". It matches the Rfam family "Eukaryotic small subunit ribosomal RNA", at positions 1470 to 1796 of the family's 1831-position model. The record is from RNAcentral.
CCCUUAGAUGUCCUGGGCUGCAUGCGCGCUACACUGGAAGUUACGGAUUGAGAUACUACCUUGUCCGAAAUGGUCCGGGUAAUCACCUAAAAGCUUGUCAUAAUUGGAAUGGAUUAUUGUAACUAGUAAUCCUGAACGAGGAAUUCCUAGUAAGUCCCAGUCAACAGCUGGUACUGAUUACGUCCCUGCCCUUUGUACACACCGCCCGUCGCUACUACUGAUUGGACGUUUAAGCAAGAUUUUUAAACACUGACAGUGUGUAGUUCACGCUAUACUACAGUGAGAAGAAGAAGAUCGAGCUUACUUGUCUAGAGGAAGUAAAAGUCGUAACA